AUCCAGCUGAUGAGUCCCAAAUAGGACGAGACGCUUGUCCUGUAU
This is a non-coding RNA of Schistosoma haematobium, 45 nucleotides long. NCBI's taxonomy places the organism in Eukaryota, Metazoa, Platyhelminthes, Trematoda, Strigeidida, Schistosomatidae. The record is from Rfam.